ACGGAGGGUGCAAGCGUUAAUCGGAAUCACUGGGCGUAAAGCGCUCGUAGGCUGUUUGGUCAGUCAGACGUGAAAGCCCACGGCUCAACCGUGGAACUGCGUUUGAUACUGACAGACUUGAGUGUCGGAGAGGGUAGCGGAAUUCCGGGUGUAGGGGUGAAAUGCGUAGAUAUGCGGAAGAACACCAGUGGCGAAGGCAGCCACCUGGAUGACAACUGACGCUGAGGAGCGAAAGCGUGGGUAGCAAACAG
This 251-nucleotide ribosomal RNA is filed under the name uncultured prokaryote. Its description in RNAcentral is "partial 16S rRNA". It matches the Rfam family "Bacterial small subunit ribosomal RNA", at positions 525 to 775 of the family's 1533-position model. The record is from RNAcentral.